This 69-nucleotide microRNA precursor is filed under the name Bombyx mori (domestic silkworm). RNAcentral describes it as "mir-2774 microRNA precursor family". It matches the Rfam family "mir-2774 microRNA precursor family". The record is from Rfam by way of RNAcentral. Lineage: Eukaryota; Metazoa; Arthropoda; Insecta; Lepidoptera; Bombycidae.
ACAACAUUCGGACCGUCGGUCUACCGAGCAGAAUAUCACCCGCUCGGUGGAAGAUCUUCCCUUUGUCGU